GCAGUGGUCUUCCUCUUCCAUCGUUCACCUGCAAAAGGCUUGAGAAUUUUUCCCAUGUUUGGAGGUCAAAACAACUUGUGUAGUCAACCAUGCAUAAUUUCAGAGUUGAAGCUGAUGGUGUCUUUUGAGCCAAUGGAUUUUCCUAGAUAUCAGAAGUGCAAUGGCAAAUUAAUGAAUUGAUCUAGACAAAGAGAGACCUGAAGUGAUACACAUCGACCAUUUUCUGUGAGCUGAUUCAAUAAAUAGAAAUUGUCUGGUGCUUUUUGUCUUAAGAAUGGUGGUUUAACUUUGCCUUGUUUGCUUUUGGUCUGUAACAUUAUUUCUCAUUGGCUGUUCUUGGAAAUAUUUUUUUCUUUCUUUCCUUGUGUAUCCCUUAGAACUUGCCUUUUGCCUUAUGGAAUUGUGGAUGUUUAUUUGUA
Prunus dulcis (almond) is the source of this 419-nucleotide long non-coding RNA. RefSeq lists it as uncharacterized. The record is from RefSeq and is a predicted model, not a curated record. NCBI's taxonomy places the organism in Eukaryota, Viridiplantae, Streptophyta, Magnoliopsida, Rosales, Rosaceae. The transcript is spliced from 2 exons.